Actinia tenebrosa (Australian red waratah sea anemone) is the source of this 1242-nucleotide long non-coding RNA. RefSeq lists it as uncharacterized. The record is from RefSeq and is a predicted model, not a curated record. Lineage: Eukaryota; Metazoa; Cnidaria; Anthozoa; Actiniaria; Actiniidae.
UAUAGAAAACACCGAAAUAGCAAUGUUCAGUACUAUAAGGGGUGUUAGCAUUCAGCAUCAGCAGAUAUAACAACGAUUACAGCAUGCAAAUAAGUAAUGUCAAGUCAAUAAUCUAUCCACCGCAAACAUUCCUGCCCGGCCAUGUCAUUAUAUGUAUUUCGCUUGCUUUAAUAUAUUACAUCAUCAUCGAGACCAUAUUCCAUGUUUUUCAAUAGUUUCAACCAAUAGGAUUCUAGAUUUCUGUCCUAUUUUUCUUCACUUCAAUUCUUCAACUGUCACGUCAUCGCGAGAUCAGAAUAAAAAAAACAACUUGAGCUACAAGAUCAGGUUUCAAUCAAUUGUUCAGAAAAUCCACAAAAACCGAGUUGGUUGACGUCUUUCACAUUCAGAGUUUUGGUUGGUGUUGGAGACAGAUCUGAAUCCUGCGGCAGGCAGUCAGUGGCAAUCGAGCGAAUUAAAGUUCACUUGCAAAGUUAAGAAAAGAACGAUUCUCAAGAGUAGAGCACCAUGGGGUUUUCUCUGGUAAGGCGCAACAGCAGCAAGAGGAGGAGCUUCCGUCGCACAGAAAACAGAGAUCGUAACAGUGAAACAAAUUCAACCAGGUCAACAUCGAGUCAAGCCAAUAACACCAGUAAUCGUGCCAGUAGAGAAAUUGGAAGUGUUUUAAGAAGAAUUGGCGAUCAGCUCAAUAAUAGUCAACUGAGUCUUAACACUGCUCUAUGACCGACAAAAAACAUUGGACAUAGCAAAACAAGUUUAAUACUGUAUUGUUUCUAUCAGAACAGUAAGUUAAUAUCAUCCUCAAGUUAGAAAAUUGACAACUUCAGUAAUUGAUGUUUAAAUGAAGAAGAUGAAUUGACUUGAUGAAAGGAAAAUUACCAUCAUCACAAGAACCACCAACAGUAAUCAGAAUAAUUAUUCUCGAACUAAAAACUAUAGUAAAAAUAUUUCAUACAUUGAUGAGGUUCUUAAGGAUUAUUAUUUCACUCAUUAAAGAUUGUAAAAAACAUUAAUGAUAAAUAUUUGAUGUUUUGUUUCAUAUAAAAGAUAUGUUUCAGUUAAAUGAAAAAACAUACAUAAUUGAUGAUUAAUGAUAAAGAAAAUGCACUCACAAAAUCAUACUUAAUUUGUCCAAAAAACUAUAAAGGAACAUUCAUGCAAGAAACCUUCCUAUAGAAAGAUCAAGUUUAAAAACUCUUAAUGUAGUUUUGUAACAAUUGAAUAAAUGUUUAGCUAAAAAUU